This 72-nucleotide transfer RNA is filed under the name Ovis aries (sheep). It matches the Rfam family "tRNA". Rfam says of the family: Transfer RNA (tRNA) molecules are approximately 80 nucleotides in length. Their secondary structure includes four short double-helical elements and three loops (D, anti-codon, and T loops). Further hydrogen bonds mediate the characteristic L-shaped molecular structure. tRNAs have two regions of fundamental functional importance: the anti-codon, which is responsible for specific mRNA codon recognition, and the 3' end, to which the tRNAs corresponding amino acid is attached (by aminoacyl-tRNA synthetases). tRNAs cope with the degeneracy of the genetic code in two manners: having more than one tRNA (with a specific anti-codon) for a particular amino acid; and 'wobble' base-pairing, i.e. permitting non-standard base-pairing at the 3rd anti-codon position. The record is from Rfam by way of RNAcentral. Lineage: Eukaryota; Metazoa; Chordata; Mammalia; Artiodactyla; Bovidae.
UCCCUUGUAGCUCAGUUGGUAAAGAAUCUGCCUGUAAUGCAGGAGACCCAGGUUUGAUUCCUGGGUCAGGAA